Molecule: non-coding RNA, 80 nt
Organism: Myotis lucifugus (little brown bat)
Lineage: Eukaryota; Metazoa; Chordata; Mammalia; Chiroptera; Vespertilionidae
Source: Rfam
GGUGGUUCUCGGGUGAGGCACCCCGGAAUCGGGCUCCCUCCUCUCUGGUUCCAGGGUGCUGAUGUCACCCGAGAACCACC